RNAcentral lists this unclassified non-coding RNA (248 nucleotides) under Hevea brasiliensis (rubber tree). The record is from RNAcentral. Lineage: Eukaryota; Viridiplantae; Streptophyta; Magnoliopsida; Malpighiales; Euphorbiaceae.
UAUGCGCACAUGCACAUACUCCUUCGAACCAGCACCGGAGUCGUCAGCAUUUGCAUCAGCAAAGGGGUCAAAUGCUGCAGGGAUCUGGUUGUCAAGUUCAGACAUGAACUCUAGAGUACUAACGGGUGAAGAAAGAACGCUUUCCGGCUUUUGUAAAGCUGAUCGAGGGGCGAGGGCUGCGGUUCUGAGUGCUGGAUCGUUUCAGAGCGGUGCCCUAGCCCUUGAUCGGCAGAAGAAGGGGAAGAUCG